CUGCAACAGAUGACCUUUGAGACCAGUUACAAAUUUUUAAAGCAAGCCACGAUGCUGGGUUCUUAUGACAGACUCAGUUCGCCCUCAGCUUGCUUGGUUGUAGGAAAAGUUGUGAAAGGAGGAACCGGCCUCUUCGAUCUGAAACAGCCGUUAUAGUAAUGGACUGGGAUUGGAGAAUUCAUUUGCUCACUGUUAUGGACUGCAGAAUGACAAAGCAAUAUUUUUUUUGUCUAUAACAUCAAUAAAUAUUUUCUUUUGACUUCUU
Long non-coding RNA from Sinocyclocheilus grahami, 265 nucleotides. RefSeq lists it as uncharacterized. The record is from RefSeq and is a predicted model, not a curated record. The transcript has 2 exons. NCBI's taxonomy places the organism in Eukaryota, Metazoa, Chordata, Actinopteri, Cypriniformes, Cyprinidae.